This 270-nucleotide long non-coding RNA is filed under the name Nicotiana benthamiana. RNAcentral describes it as "long non-coding RNA (NBEN_LNC027440)". The record is from RNAcentral. Lineage: Eukaryota; Viridiplantae; Streptophyta; Magnoliopsida; Solanales; Solanaceae.
GAAUAGAAGUAGAAGUAGGAAAUAAACUAAUUAUUUGUGAAAGUGUAAUUAAGAGCAAAAAUCGCAUCUAGACUUGGAUAUAAAUCUAAUUUCAAACAAAUUAACUCCAUGUGGGUUCAAUCUCGACCUAGUUGGGCAAAACUGCGUCGACUAUCCUUGAUACUCAAUAGUAGUGCAGGCUUGGACCCGAUCAAUUUUUGGUGCCAUUGCUGGGGAGUUAGACAGUUUUAGCUAUAUACUUGAGUAUUUGUAUGUUUUGUUUUACUUUCC